GUCGAACGGACCGUAUACGCAGCUUGCUGCGUGUAUGGUUAGUGGCAGACGGGUGAGUAAUGCAUAGGAAUCUACCUAGUAGUAUGGGAUAGCCACUAGAAAUGGUGGGUAAUACUGUAUAAUCCCUGCGGGGGAAAGAUUUAUCGCUAUUAGAUGAGCCUAUGUCAGAUUAGCUAGUUGGUGGGGUAAUGGCCUACCAAGGCGGUGAUCUGUAGCUGGUCUGAGAGGAUGAUCAGCCACACUGGAACUGAGACACGGUCCAGACUCCUACGGGAGGCAGCAGUGGGGAAUAUUGGACAAUGGGCGCAAGCCUGAUCCAGCUAUGCCGCGUGAGUGAGGAAGGCCUUAGGGUUGUAAAACUCUUUCAGUAGGGAAGAUAAUGACGGUACCUACAGAAGAAGUCCCGGCAAACUCCGUGCCAGCAGCCGCGGUAAUACGGAGGGGGCAAGCGUUGUUCGGAAUUAUUGGGCGUAAAGGGCAUGUAGGCGGUUUGGUAAGUUAAAGGUGAAAUACCAGGGCUUAACCCUGGGGCUGCUUUUAAUACUGCAGGACUAGAGUCCGGAAGAGGAUAGCGGAAUUCCUAGUGUAGAGGUGAAAUUCGUAGAUAUUAGG
Molecule: ribosomal RNA, 612 nt
Filed under: Anaplasma marginale
Lineage: Bacteria; Pseudomonadati; Pseudomonadota; Alphaproteobacteria; Rickettsiales; Anaplasmataceae
Description: bacterial SSU rRNA
Rfam family: Bacterial small subunit ribosomal RNA
Source: RNAcentral